GACGAACGCUGGCGGCGUGCCUAAUACAUGCAAGUAGAACGCUGAAGCGAGGAGCUUGCUCUUCUUGGAUGAGUUGCGAACGGGUGAGUAACGCGUAGGUAACCUGCCUUGUAGCGGGGGAUAACUAUUGGAAACGAUAGCUAAUACCGCAUAACAAUGGAUGACACAUGUCAUUUAUUUGAAAGGGGCAAUUGCUCCACUACAAGAUGGACCUGCGUUGUAUUAGCUAGUAGGUGAGGUAAUGGCUCACCUAGGCGACGAUACAUAGCCGACCUGAGAGGGUGAUCGGCCACACUGGGACUGAGACACGGCCCAGACUCCUACGGGAGGCAGCAGUAGGGAAUCUUCGGCAAUGGGGGCAACCCUGACCGAGCAACGCCGCGUGAGUGAAGAAGGUUUUCGGAUCGUAAAGCUCUGUUGUAAGUCAAGAACGGGUGUGAGAGUGGUAAGUUCACACUGUGACGGUAGCUUACCAGAAAGGGACGGCUAACUACGUG
This 497-nucleotide ribosomal RNA is filed under the name uncultured bacterium. Its description in RNAcentral is "partial 16S ribosomal RNA". It matches the Rfam family "Bacterial small subunit ribosomal RNA", at positions 28 to 507 of the family's 1533-position model. The record is from RNAcentral.